CAAGGCAGCCCUGGCCUGCUCACUGAAGCUGGGGAGAGAGGAUGAUGACAAGCUAAGACCACAAAUCUCUCCUGAGGGAGUCAGGGGAGCAGGAGAUGUGGGUGGUGCUGAGCUCCCACUGCCUCCCAGGGCAGAGAGGACCGCAGUCCAGUCCUCAACCUGUGCGAAAGGUUUGGGGAAAUGACAACUGAGUUUCCAGCACACGUCAGUGCAAAGCAGCUUAUUCCAGGUGCCCAGCAGCCCCACGUGGCCAGUGGCCACCACACUGAAGCGCAGCUCGGAGGACUCUGACUGCCCUGAGCUGAGGGAGGUGACGGGUCUGAAACACUCUUUUCUGCCAGAAGUUAGGGGACACCUCCUCCCUCCCAACAGCUCUCUUCAGGCCCAAGAGUGAGAGAUGGUGCCUCUAGAGGGCAGGGGCUACAAGAACAAAGUGUCCACAGGUUUCCCUGCUGCCCACCUGCUGCCCAUCGUCUUUCCAGAGAUCAGAAAAUGAACAAAGGAUGAUGGGGCCCCCAAAAGGAGGAAACCCAGUGUCUUCAGAUCUGUCCACAGCCUUGACCUACGAAGUUUAGAUAUGGAGGGAAUAGAUUAAAGGCACACUUACUUUGCUAUUUGGCCUUGACCCUAACGGUCAGGCUGUGUACAUUUGUUUCCUCACAUGCUGUGGAGGACUGCGUAGUUUAAGCACCAAUUACAUGCAGACAUGUCUACAUGCAUUUCUGUGUAACUCGAUGCCAUCAAGCAAGAGGCCCAACUUUAAAUAAGAGGAAAAGAAAAUCAGCAACUGUAGGGUGUCUUCUGUUUGCAGGCUAGCACAGACUUGCUCUUAUGGAAAUGGUAGAAUUCUGAAAGAAAAACAAAGCAUUCAAGAACUUUUGAGCCUAAGCCCCAAGCUGGCACACUGUUAUGUUUGCAGUCUUCUAUUGGCCACAGCAAAUAAGGCCAGCUGAGAUCCAAGGUUUGGGAAACAGAGUCUGCUUCUUAAUGAGAACAUCUGUACAAGCACACUGCAAAGGGUCUGGAUACAGGGAAGGAUGAUGAAUUGAUGCCAUUUUUGCAAUCAGUAUCACUAUGCAUUUUCUUGCAGAGCUACUAAUGUGUGGACAGAGUCUGCGGCCGUGGCAGGUGGCACACACUGGCAAUGAUGACCAGAGCCACGGUGACAGUGGCAGCCUGCUCCCUGGACUCUGCGUCCCGAAGCACGUGCCAGGCUGCAGCAGCAUCCACAGUGGACAGGGAGCCACGGGAAGCGGGCUGCCAUCAAGCCACAAUUUCACCAGCUCUGCUCUUGGGUGGAACCACUACUUCCCGCCAGAGCUUGCAGAUGAAGCAAAGAGGGGCCAUGGAGGGAUCCAGGGCUGACUGCUUGGAGCCUUGGUUUUCCUGCAUUUUACAAAUGGAGUUGUAGUCAUAAACCUGCCACCUCAUUUAAUUUCCAGUGAUGCUGUAAAACUAAACGAAAUUUUGA
This is a long non-coding RNA of Homo sapiens (human), 1471 nucleotides long. RefSeq lists it as uncharacterized. The transcript is spliced from 4 exons. Lineage: Eukaryota; Metazoa; Chordata; Mammalia; Primates; Hominidae. The record is from RefSeq and is a predicted model, not a curated record.